RNAcentral lists this ribosomal RNA (2418 nucleotides) under Triticum aestivum (bread wheat). Its description in RNAcentral is "partial small subunit ribosomal RNA". Lineage: Eukaryota; Viridiplantae; Streptophyta; Magnoliopsida; Poales; Poaceae. The record is from RNAcentral.
AUGAUCAGCGUCGCGCCCAACUCUACCGGCGGCUAUCUCCUGCACCGUUUCUGCGACCCCAACACAUCGGCGAGCGUCGACAAGUACGUGCGCAACAUCACAGACUCUUACACCGACACGAGCAAUGAGUCGUCCAUGGUGGCCGCCUCCGUCAUCAUGUUCGCCCUCGCCGGCAUCUUCUUCAACCUCAACCUCUUCAGCCGCUUCUCCGACGUCAGCGCCAUCCUCGACCCCAAGGUCCGGGUCUUCCUCUCCUCCUUGCUCUCCCUCUUCCUCCCCGUCAUGUCCUACCUCUUCUCCGAGGCCAAGAACGCCGGCAAGGUGGCCGCCGCCGCGGGGGUCGGCCACCGUGAGGAGCCAGACCUCUCGCUGCAGGCAGGCUUGAUCCUCCUCUGGAUGCUCCUCGUGGAGCUCCUCCGCAAGAAGGUGGACGAGAUCCGCAUGCGCGGCUACUCCGGCACCAUCCAGCGUGCCGGCCGCGUCGUCUGGCUCGGCAGCCUCGUCUUCUUCAACCUCAAGAGAGUCGGCCGCAAGGCCGUGUUCGGCAUCUUUUGGGUGCUCUGCGCCACCAAGGUGGUGCAGAGGAUCGCCUUCACAGAGGUCGGCAAGCGAUCCUACGCACACGGCAAGAACACGCGUCUCAUCACCUCCUACAUGUCACAAAUACUGCAGCCAGGUCGACCACAGCCACAGGAUCAGCAAGAGCACCAACAGCACCAUUCCCCGUCGACCCAUGUCCUCGACGUUGAGGACGUUGAGCACCGGGCGGCUGCCGGAAAUAACCAAGGUGGUGGCGGCGAGGCCAUGUUGAAGAGGUGCAAGUUCAUCGUCAUGGGUGAAGAAGACCUGGUUAUAGAACCAACUGCUGAUGGCUACAAGCUGAAGGAUAUAUCCCACAACGACACCGUCCUCACCGUUGGAAAAAUCUGGGAUCAUGCCUAUUCCAACCUCGAGGAACGCCUACGGUUGCGACUCAGGAGGCUGUGCCUCUCCUUCGCGCUCUUCAAGCUGCUACGGAGGAGGUUCGAGCACCUGCCGCUGGUGACCAAGGAAGAGACUCGUGAGUGCCGUGACCUACUCUUCGACGGAGUCUACCAUGACAAGUCAGAGAAGGCGGCGGUGGAGCUAUUCCAGAUGAUGAACGAUGAGGUGAACUUCCUGUGCGAGUACUACCACUCCGUCAUCCCCGUCGUCCUCGCGAGCCCUUUCUUCUUACUUGCCAACUACUUCCUGCUUCCCGUGGUGGUGCUUGGCUUGCGCCUUAUGACUGUCGUGCUCUGCGGCUUCGGCGAUGCGGGCUUCGCCUUUUCCAGCAUCACGACGGACAACUUCGCCAUAAAGUCCGGCGUCGUCAACACCACCAUGUGCCUCCUAAUCAAGUCCAUCUCCUCGCCGUCGGCCUUCUUCACGACGGUGGACUUUGCCAUCACCUUCCUCCUCUUGGCCAUCUUCUUCUACGAGGAGAUGUGGGAGUUCAUCGUCUUCCUCCUCUCAAACUGGUUCAUGGUGUCACUGGUCCACAACUACGUGACAAAGCAGUGGUGGCGUGAUAGCAAGAUGUUCAGGAGCUCUGUCCACCGCAUCAUAUGGUUGCGGAAAAAGAUGAGCCAGCCCAUCCUUGGCUUCAAGCAGUUCUCACUGCUGAACCUCCGGUGGCCGCUCGUCCUCGGCCUGCCAUCCAUGUUCUCUCUGGUGCUCGAGACGGCGCCCGUGCCAAAAGGCGCCAAACACGCCAUCAUGGAAUCGCUUGUGAAGCACAUCCAUGAUGGCACUGAUCUCAACAAUGGAAGCUCUGUUCUUGUCAACAGAGAAGACCUCUUGCCGGCGUGUCGGAGCGAUAGCCUCGCGGAGGUCAUCCUCACCUGGCACGUCGCUACCACCAUCAUGGAGGCCAAGUACUCUCCUGGCAAGGGAAAGCAGAGCAAGGCUUCCCAGUACCACAUGGUGGCGACGAGGCUGUCCAAGUACUGCGCCUACCUGGUGGCCUUCCACCCCGAACUACUCCCCGACAACCAGGAAAAGUCAGAGCGCGUCUUCGAGGCCGCCAAGGAGGAGCUCAAGGCCACUCUCAAAUGCGCCCCCUACUACCUCUUGCGUUGGCGCUCGAGGGUCAACGAGGUCAUGGCGGCCCCCAACAGGGAGGCGACUGCGGCCUGGAAAGACGGCAAGGUGGUCCACAAUGGCACGAAGCUGGGGAAUAUGCUGAGGGAGGAACCUACGAGGGACGGCGACAGCCAGCGGGAGCAGACGUGGAAGCUGCUUGCCGACCUAUGGACGGAACUCCUCGUAUACAUAGCGCCGUCGAGCGAUGAGGAGCGCGUGAUGGGGCACGAGAGUGUGCUGGUGCAGGGCGGCGAGUUCAUCACCGUGCUUUGGGCCUUGACCACCCACACUGGAAUAACCCGCCCGGAAAAGUAG